UCUCCACAGUGGAGCGCACAGGUGAGCACAAUCAUUGGCAGCUCACGCCAGCACCCCAGUAAUUUUGGCUGCUCAGAACUUUGUCCAGUGGUCUUGCAGAGCAGCUGAUGGCAGCAGGAAAGCGACAUCGCAUGCUAAAUCAUUGGACUAAAACACAUGGGAAAAAAGGAAAAGAUCAGAGAGGCUACCGUCUCUGCCAUGCCGGACGGACUCCCUCUCGUCUUUAUUGCCUCCCGGCUCUCCUCGGCGUGCUGAGCUCUGAGGAAUAAGAUCUCUGAUAGGGGAUUAAAACCCGAACCUGUUUCCAGAUGAGACCGUUCACUCUUCGGUCAAGGUUGUUUUCCAGUCAUCCAGCGUAAAAUGAGAAACCACAGCCUGUUGGCUAGGAGUUAGAUCCGGGGUGUCCAAAGUGCGGCCCGCAGAUAAUAUUUUAAUAUUUAAAUGUUGCCGUGUUGACACUAAUAACCAGGGGCGUCAAAAAAAAUGACAAAUUCAGAUUAACUGGGAUUCUUACUUUUAAUGAU
This is a long non-coding RNA of Entelurus aequoreus (snake pipefish), 524 nucleotides long. RefSeq lists it as uncharacterized. Lineage: Eukaryota; Metazoa; Chordata; Actinopteri; Syngnathiformes; Syngnathidae. The transcript is spliced from 3 exons. The record is from RefSeq and is a predicted model, not a curated record.